UACGUAGGGUGCAAGCGUUAAUCGGAAUUACUGGGCGUAAAGCGUGCGCAGGCGGUUGUGCAAGACCGAUGUGAAAUCCCCGGGCUCAACCUGGGAACUGCAUUUGUGACUGCAAGGCUAGAGUACGGCAGAGGGGGAUGGAAUUCCGCGUGUAGCAGUGAAAUGCGUAGAUAUGCGGAGGAACACCAAUGGCGAAGGCAAUCCCCUGGGCCUGUACUGACGCUCAUGCACGAGAGCGUGGGGAGCAAACAGG
Molecule: ribosomal RNA, 253 nt
Filed under: uncultured bacterium
Lineage: Bacteria
Description: partial 16S ribosomal RNA
Rfam family: Bacterial small subunit ribosomal RNA
Source: RNAcentral